UGGGGAAUAUUGCACAAUGGGCGCAAGCCUGAUGCAGCAACGCCGCGUGAACGAUGAAGGUCUUCGGAUCGUAAAGUUCUGUUGCAGGGGAAGAUAAUGACGGUACCCUGUGAGGAAGCCCCGGCUAACUACGUGCCAGCAGCCGCGGUAAUACGUAGGGGGCUAGCGUUAUCCGGAUUUACUGGGCGUAAAGGGGGCGUAGGUGGUCUUUCAAGUCGGUGGUUAAAGGCUACGGCUCAACCGUAGUUAGCCUCCGAAACUGGAAGACUUGAGUGAAGGAGAGGAAAGUGGAAUUCCCAGUGUAGCGGUGAAAUGCGUAGAUAUUGGGAGGAACACCAGUAGCGAAGGCGGCUUUCUGGACUGCAACUGACACUGAGGCACGAAAGCGUGGGUAGCAAACAGG
This 403-nucleotide ribosomal RNA is filed under the name Verrucomicrobiota bacterium. RNAcentral's name for it is "Verrucomicrobia bacterium partial 16S ribosomal RNA". It matches the Rfam family "Bacterial small subunit ribosomal RNA", at positions 355 to 776 of the family's 1533-position model. The record is from RNAcentral. Lineage: Bacteria; Pseudomonadati; Verrucomicrobiota.